Molecule: unclassified non-coding RNA, 335 nt
Filed under: soil metagenome
Description: partial contains 5.8S ribosomal RNA, internal transcribed spacer 2, and large subunit ribosomal RNA
Rfam family: 5.8S ribosomal RNA (bases 1-120)
Source: RNAcentral
GAUGAAGAACGCAGCGAAAUGCGAUAAGUAAUGUGAAUUGCAGAAUUCAGUGAAUCAUCGAAUCUUUGAACGCACAUUGCGCCCAUUAGCAUUCUAGUGGGCAUGCCUGUUCGAGCGUCAUUUCAACCCUUAAGCCCUGUUGCUUAGCGUUGGGAGCCUACAGUACUGUAGCUCCCCAAAGUUAGUGGCGGAGUCGGUUUCACACUCUAGACGUAGUAAUUUUUUCUCGUGUGUAGUUGAGCCGGUCCCCUGCCGUAAAACACCCAAUUUAUCAAGGUUGACCUCGGAUCAGGUAGGAAUACCCGCUGAACUUAAGCAUAUCAAUAAGCGGAGGA